AGUAGCGCACUGGUGAGUAACACGUGGGAACGUACCUUUUGGUGGGGAACAACAGUUGGAAACGACUGCUAAUACCGCAUAAGCCCUGAGGGGGAAAGAUUUAUCGCCGAAAGAACGGCCCGCGGAAGAUUAGGUAGUUGGUGGGGUAACGGCCUACCAAGCCGACGAUCUAUAGCUGGUCUGAGAGGACGAUCAGCCACAUUGGAACUGAGACACGGUCCAAACUCCUACGGGAGGCAGCAGUGAGGAAUAUUGGGCAAUGGAGGCAACUCUGACCCAGCCAUGCCGCGUGAGUGAAGAAGGUUUUCGGAUUGUAAAGCUCUUUCGGGUGUGACGAUGAUGACGGUAGCACCUAAAGAAGCCCCGGCUAACUUCGUGCCAGCAGCCGCGGUAAUACGAAGGGGGCAAGCGUUGUUCGGAAUUACUGGGCGUAAAGGGAGUGUAGGCGGUUAUGUAAGAUAGUGGUGAAAUCCCAGAGCUUAACUUUGGAAUUGCCAUUAUGACUAUGUGGCUAGAAUUACAGAGAGGAUAGUGGAAUACCCAGUGUAGAGGUGAAAUUCGUAGAUAUUGGGUAGAACACCAGUGGCGAAG
Molecule: ribosomal RNA, 591 nt
Filed under: uncultured Alphaproteobacteria bacterium
Lineage: Bacteria; Pseudomonadati; Pseudomonadota; Alphaproteobacteria
Description: bacterial SSU rRNA
Rfam family: Bacterial small subunit ribosomal RNA
Source: RNAcentral